Long non-coding RNA from Pan troglodytes (chimpanzee), 1616 nucleotides. RefSeq lists it as uncharacterized. NCBI's taxonomy places the organism in Eukaryota, Metazoa, Chordata, Mammalia, Primates, Hominidae. The record is from RefSeq and is a predicted model, not a curated record. The transcript is spliced from 3 exons.
AUCAGUGAUUAAAAAUGUAGGAAGAUACAGCAAAGAAAAGUAAAGUAAGGAUCAUGAUAGCAAAACCCAAUAAUGUCAAGAUCCUAAAGGUGACAAUCAGGUGCCUAUGUGGGUGCCCACCAAACAUCUGAAGAUCUAUCAUGAGCCACAGCAUCUAGUGGAACCACCUGUACAGUGCGAAUUGAAGGAGAUUAAUGAACUGUGUGGAUACCCUCAAGAUGUGUAUGACCAUGGAACGGGAGACUGGAGGGAUCCGUGGAUCCCAACCAUGCACCAGGUUCCCCCAGUAUGAGCCAUGAGCCAGUUGAAUCUGAAUGCGAAGAUGGAAGGAGGACUAACCAGAGUCAACAAUGCUUAAUGGAUCAAUGCUUUCUAACUCAGCUCCUCUCUACCCUGAAUACAAGAGACCCUAAUAGUUAGGCAGGAGUAUCAUCGCCCCUAUUCAGCAUGAAGUUACAGAAGACGGACCUUCAUCCUUCUGCAACCCCUAGGAUUAAGAGUCCUCUUGUAAAAGGAAAAGGGGAAAUAUGUGGGAAGCAUUCGAACCAGAGGUGACUCCAGUCUGAAUAAGCGCUAAGAAAAAUGAAGCUGGAUCACCAACUGGCAAUUAAGGACUGCACAGCCUGCAAUUGCCUUGUUCAAUUAAAAGAGGCCACCUCUUAUGCUAGUAAUAAUGAUAGCAAUAAUACCUUCUCUUUUACUAAAAAGAAAGGGGGGGCAUGUUGGGGAAAAAGCUGAGUGUUGGGAGGGAAACUGAGGCAGGGCUUGCAUAUGUCCUCUGGAAUGUGUCUAGACUUGCUGGCUCCUUGCUUCUAGCCCUUCUAGACUCGUAUUCCCAUUAUCUCAAGUAGCAGAACAUGUUCCUUAUAAUGCUAAACCGUCACAGCUGUAAAUCAUGUGCUUAAUGCAACGUGUCCUUUUGACCUCCACAUUCUCACCACCUGUUUGUCGGAUUACCAAUAAAUACCAUUGGCUCAGAGCUUGUAGCCUCCGCAGCCUCCAUACAAUAGUGAUGGCCCCCUGGUGUGCCACCUUUUUUUUUCUCUCACUGUCUUUUUCUCAAUCCUUUGACUCUGCUGGACUUUGUUACCCCCACGACCUGAUGUUGGGUCUCAUCACCCCAACAAAUUUAUAGUUAUUCUCUAACUCUCAAUAUUAUGUAAUAAUUGAUAGCACAUUUAAAUGAUUUGCUGAUUGUCACACUUGCUCAUUAUAAACCUUAGGUUAUUACAAUGAUAUUGACAUUGGAAACCAAAGGAAUUGCAAUACUGUGUUUAUUCUUUGUGCUGAGUUUCAAGAAAACUUGUGUCACAAGGCAUGUGGAACAUUGUAAAAUUCAGCUAGGCAAAUGGACCUUUGCCUUCACUAUAUCUCCAAUGACCACCAAGCACUAUAUAGGGUUGUGAUGGAUAAUGCAUUACUUACCUCUCAGAUGAGAAGGAUGUAAACCUUGGCUUUCUCAUAGAGAUUAUUUUAAAAGCUGUUCUGGGUCACAAGCUGAUGAGGGACUCUCAACAUAAAAGUAAAGAAACAUGUUCCAUGCAGUUCUUUAGGAAAUUUUCUUCACGUUUACAGCAUCUAACAUUAGGAAUUUGAAUCACCUAUUACAUUUUUUA